CUUGUUCCAUUUUUAUUUAAAGCCUUCUGUGAGUGCAAUACCUUCUCCUGGGACACAACCGUCUAUGGGACCAAGCUCUGUUUAUGGAACUACACCGUUAUCUCCUUCAGCGCCUGCUUAUCAAUCUGGUCCAUCUUCAAACAAGGAACACUCUUUUCCUCAGCGACCUGGACAACCUGAGUGUACCUACUUUAUGAAAACAGGAGACUGUAAGUUCGGAACCUCUUGCAGAUACCAUCAUCCUCUGGAAGCAGCAUCGCCCAAGGGAGUUGCUCUCAGCAAUAUCGGCCUCCCACUUCGUCCUGUAAGUCUCACUCAUUUGCCAAAGCAUCUGUGUAUGUAUAUAUUAUAGCUUUACGCCUUGAGUUAUUGUCAUGGAGGAUUCCCAUUACGUCCGGUUUGUUCAAUCUCUCUCUCUCUCUCUCUCUGGUCUAGGUUAUAUACUUAUAUCAGUCUUGUCUUAUGUUUCAUCCUUGAGGGAAAAAGAAAUGUUUCUUAUUAAUGGACUUCACAGGGUGAGAAAGAAUGUCCCUAUUACAUGAGAACCGGCCAGUGUAAAUUCGGUUCCACCUGUAAAUUUCACCAUCCUGUUCCUCCUGGUGAUCAAGUUCCAUCGCAGCAGCAGUUAUCAACUGGUCCAGCUAUCCAUCCAUCGCAGCAAUUCGGAGUAGUUGUACCAAGACCUCAGCUUUUGCCAGGCUCAUAUGUUCAAAGCCCUUACGGUACUUACAGCCAAAUGGUUCUUCCUCCCGGCAUGGUUUCAUACUCUGGCUGGAACCCUUACCAGGUAAUGCUGCUCUUUUUAUUUGUACACUUUUCUUUCUCUUUAAUCUUAACGAAGCCUUGUUCCAUUUUUAUUUAAAGCCUUCUGUGAGUGCAAUACCUUCUCCUGGGACACAACCGUCUAUGGGACCAAGCUCUGUUUAUGGAACUACACCGUUAUCUCCUUCAGCGCCUGCUUAUCAAUCUGGUCCAUCUUCAAACAAGGAACACUCUUUUCCUCAGCGACCUGGACAACCUGAGUGUACCUACUUUAUGAAAACAGGAGACUGUAAGUUCGGAACCUCUUGCAGAUACCAUCAUCCUCUGGAAGCAGCAUCGCCCAAGGGAGUUGCUCUCAGCAAUAUCGGCCUCCCACUUCGUCCUGUAAGUCUCACUCAUUUGCCAAAGCAUCUGUGUAUGUAUAUAUUAUAGCUUUACGCCUUGAGUUAUUGUCAUGGAAACUAGAGUUAUUUGGUAAUGAAUCAAUGAUGAAUUCCGUAUAGAAACUCUGUUUCUUGAUUUAAUUACCGGAAACAACUAAGUGGUACGUCUCUCAUGAUCACUGACAGUUCAUUCUACUUUCACGUAUACAAUAAUGCAUGUCAUAACAAAUAAGAAAGCUAAUAAUAAAUAUCAUUUUUCAGGGC
RNAcentral lists this long non-coding RNA (1409 nucleotides) under Brassica napus (rape). Its description in RNAcentral is "long non-coding RNA (BNAP_LNC012758)". Lineage: Eukaryota; Viridiplantae; Streptophyta; Magnoliopsida; Brassicales; Brassicaceae. The record is from RNAcentral.